UGGGGGAUAUUGCACAAUGGGCGAAAGCCUGAUGCAGCGACGCCGCGUGAGGGAAGACGGUCUUCGGAUUGUAAACCUCUGUCUUCGGGGACGAUAAUGACGGUACCCGAGGAGGAAGCCACGGCUAACUACGUGCCAGCAGCCGCGGUAAUACGUAGGUGGCGAGCGUUGUCCGGAAUUACUGGGUGUAAAGGGAGCGUAGGCGGGUGCUCAAGUCAAAUGUUAAAUCUAUCGGCUCAACCGAUAGCUGCGUUUGAAACUGGGCAUCUUGAGUGAAGUAGAGGUAGGCGGAAUUCCUAGUGUAGCGGUGAAAUGCGUAGAUAUUAGGAGGAACACCAGUGGCGAAGGCGGCCUACUGGGCUUUUACUGACGCUGAGGCUCGAAAGCGUGGGGAGCAAACA
The sequence is a ribosomal RNA, 401 nucleotides long. It matches the Rfam family "Bacterial small subunit ribosomal RNA", at positions 355 to 774 of the family's 1533-position model.